CGCAGCCGCGGUAAUUCCAGCUCCAAUAGCGUAUAUUAAAGUUGUUGCAGUUAAAAAGCUCGUAGUUGAAUUUCGGGAUCAUCAGGUUGGUCGUGCCUCUGGUAUGUACUGAUUUCGAUGGUUCCUCCUUCUUGUAGAACCGUAAUGCCACUAAUUUGGUGUUGCGGGAAAACAGGACUGUUACUUUGAAAAAUUAGAGUGUUUAAAGCAGGCAAUCGCUUGAAUACAUUAGCAUGGAAUAAUGAAAUAGGACGUUUGAUCCUAUUUUGUUGGUCUCUAGGAUUGACGUAAUGAUUAAUAGGGAUAGUUGGGGGCAUUAGUAUUCAAUUGUCAGAGGUGAAAUUCUUGGAUUUAUUGAAGACUAACUACUGCGAAAGCAUUUGCCAAGGAUGCUUUCAUUAAUCAAGAACGAAAGUUAGGGAUCGAAGACGAUCAGAUACCGUCGUAGUC
RNAcentral lists this ribosomal RNA (450 nucleotides) under uncultured Glomus. Its description in RNAcentral is "SSU rRNA". It matches the Rfam family "Eukaryotic small subunit ribosomal RNA", at positions 569 to 1025 of the family's 1831-position model. The record is from RNAcentral. Lineage: Eukaryota; Fungi; Glomeromycota; Glomeromycetes; Glomerales; Glomeraceae.